This 207-nucleotide ribosomal RNA is filed under the name uncultured bacterium. RNAcentral's name for it is "partial 16S ribosomal RNA". It matches the Rfam family "Bacterial small subunit ribosomal RNA", at positions 568 to 774 of the family's 1533-position model. The record is from RNAcentral.
UGCGUAGGCGGCCCUUUAAGUCGGAUGUGAAAGCCCGCGGCUUAACCGCGGAAUGGCAUUCGAAACUGGAGGGCUUGAGUGUCGGAGAGGGUAGUGGAAUUCCCAGUGUAGCGGUGAAAUGCGUAGAUAUUGGGAGGGACACCAGUGGUGAAGGCGACUACCUGGACGAUAACUGACGCUGAGGCACGAAAGCUAGGGGAGCAAACA